RNAcentral lists this ribosomal RNA (497 nucleotides) under uncultured bacterium. RNAcentral describes it as "partial 16S ribosomal RNA". It matches the Rfam family "Bacterial small subunit ribosomal RNA", at positions 28 to 507 of the family's 1533-position model. The record is from RNAcentral.
GAUGAACGCUGGCGGCGUGCCUAAUACAUGCAAGUCGAGCGAACAGACGAGGAGCUUGCUCCUCUGACGUUAGCGGCGGACGGGUGAGUAACACGUGGAUAACCUACCUAUAAGACUGGGAUAACUUCGGGAAACCGGAGCUAAUACCGGAUAAUAUAUUGAACCGCAUGGUUCAAUAGUGAAAGACCGUUUUGCUGUCACUUAUAGAUGGAUCCGCGCCGCAUUAGCUAGUUGGUAAGGUAACGGCUUACCAAGGCAACGAUGCGUAGCCGACCUGAGAGGGUGAUCAGCCACACUGGAACUGAGACACGGUCCAGACUCCUACGGGAGGCAGCAGUAGGGAAUCUUCCACAAUGGGCGAAAGCCUGACGGAGCAACGCCGCGUGAGUGAUGAAGGUCUUCGGAUCGUAAAACUCUGUUAUUAGGGAAGAACAAAUGUGUAAGUAACUAUGCACGUCUUGACGGUACCUAAUCAGAAAGCCACGGCUAACUACGUG